CACGUUUGACAUGUCUAGUUUGGUCGUCAGAGAUGACUUCCUUCAGUUCGGCUGGCUAGAACACAGGUGCUGCAUGGCUGUCGUCAGCUCGUGUCGUGAGAUGUUGGGUUAAGUCCCGCAACGAGCGCAACCCUCGCUACUAGUUGCUACCAGGUUAAGCUGAGCACUCUAGUGGAACUGCCGGUGGCAAGCCGGAGGAAGGUGGGGAUGACGUCAAGU
This 219-nucleotide ribosomal RNA is filed under the name uncultured bacterium. RNAcentral's name for it is "partial 16S ribosomal RNA". It matches the Rfam family "Bacterial small subunit ribosomal RNA", at positions 979 to 1190 of the family's 1533-position model. The record is from RNAcentral.